RNAcentral lists this long non-coding RNA (1346 nucleotides) under Malus domestica (apple). Its description in RNAcentral is "long non-coding RNA (MDOM_LNC000771)". Lineage: Eukaryota; Viridiplantae; Streptophyta; Magnoliopsida; Rosales; Rosaceae. The record is from RNAcentral.
CAGCUAACGCCUGUGGUUUACCUGAAUUUUUGUAGCUCGUUCAUCGUCUUGUUUGCUACUUCAUGCUAACCCUUUCGGCUUUCGGUUUGAGGAGGAGCCUGAAGGAGAAGAAGAAUGCAAUAACUUUUAGGGUAAAAGACUGUUUACUACCCUCAUGUUUCGUGGUUUUCAACAUUUAGUACAUCAUGUUUUUUUCGUCUCAGAGUCAUACCUAAAGUGUAAAUUUUGGGACAGUCUCAUACAUCCGUUAGUCAAACUGUUAAGUUUUUCGUUAACUGUGACGUGGCGCACUGAGUGGACGCCACGUAUCAUCCACGUUUUUUUUUUUUUUUUUUUUUUUUUUUUUUUGCUUCUUCCUUCCUUCCUUCCUUCCUUCCUUUUCUUCCCCUUCUUCCUUCUUCUUCCUUCUUCUUCCUCCGAAAUUUGGGGAAUGUUUUUUUUUUUCUUCUUCUUCUUCUCCUUCUUCCUUCCCUUCCUUCUUCCUUCUUCUUCUUCUUCUCUUCUUCUUCUUCCUCCGAAAUCUGGGGAAGUUUGUUUUUUUUUUUUUUUCUUUCUUCUUCUUCCUCCUUCUUUUCUUCUUUCUCUUUCCUCCUUCCUUCCUUCUUCUUCUUCUUCUUCUUCUUCUUCUUCUUCCUCCGAAUCUGCCCAGAUUCAAUUUUUUUUUUCUUCCUCCUUCUUCUCCUUCUUCCUUCCCCUUCUUCUCCUUCUUCGUUCUUCUUCUUCUUCCUCCGAAUUUGGGGGAAGAUGAAAGUGUUUUUUUUUUUUUUUUUUUGAGAAAGAAGAUGGAGAAGAAGAAGAUAGAAAGAAAAAAAAAACAUUCCCCAAAUUUCGGAGGAAGAAGAAGGAAGAAGGGGAAGAAAGGGAAAUGAAGGAGGAAGGAAGGAAGAAGCAAAAGGAAGAAGCAAAAAAAAAAAAAAAAAAAAAAAAAAGUAGAAAGUUGCAGUCGGAGGAAGAAGAAGAAGAAGGAAGAAGAAGAAAAAAAAAACGUGGAUGACACGUGGCGCCCACUCAGUGCGCCACGUCACAGUUAACGAAAAACUUAACAGUUUGACUAACGGAUGUAUGAGACUGUCCCAAAAUUUACACUUUAGGUAUGACUCUGAGACGAAAAAAACUUGAUGUACUAAAUGUUGAAAACCACGAAACAUUAGGGUUGUAAACAGUCUUUUACCCUAACUUUUAAGUUAUGGGGGAAGAGAUUUUACAGAUUGAAGAGCUCUACUGUUACUUGUAACAAUAAGUUGGAAUUUCUCCAAAUACAUUAGAGGUAGAUGUAUUUGACUCAUUGUCGAGUUGUAAUUUCACACAAGUAUUUAUGGUUUUAGUUUCAAUUUUUCUCAAUUUGU